Molecule: ribosomal RNA, 475 nt
Filed under: uncultured bacterium
Lineage: Bacteria
Description: bacterial SSU rRNA
Rfam family: Bacterial small subunit ribosomal RNA
Source: RNAcentral
CUGGGAACUGCCUUUGUGACUGCAUCGCUGGAGUACGGCAGAGGGGGAUGGAAUUCCGCGUGUAGCAGUGAAAUGCGUAGAUAUGCGGAGGAACACCGAUGGCGAAGGCAAUCCCCUGGGCCUGUACUGACGCUCAUGCACGAAAGCGUGGGGAGCAAAACAGGAUUAGAUACCCUGGUAGUCCACGCCCUAAACGAUGUCAACUGGUUGUUGGGUGGGUUUUCUACUCAGUAACGAAGCUAACGCGUGAAGUUGACCGCCUGGGGAGUACGGCCGCAAGGUUGAAACUCAAAAGGAAUUGACGGGGACCCGCACAAGCGGUGGAUGAUGUGGUUUAAUCGAUGCAACGCGAAAAACCUUACCUACCCUUGACAUGGCAAGAAUCCUGGAGAGAUCUGGGAGUGCUCGAAAGAGAGCUUGCACACAGGUGCUGCAUGGCCGUCGUCAGCUCGUGUCGUGAGAUGUUGGGUUAACG